Molecule: ribosomal RNA, 460 nt
Filed under: uncultured bacterium
Lineage: Bacteria
Description: partial 16S ribosomal RNA
Rfam family: Bacterial small subunit ribosomal RNA
Source: RNAcentral
CCUACGGGGUGCUGCAGUGAGGAAUAUUGGUCAAUGGGCGCGAGCCUGAACCAGCCAAGUCGCGUGAGGGAUGACGGCCCUACGGGUUGUAAACCUCUUUUGCCGGGGAGCAACGGGCGCCACGUGUGGCGCCACUGAGAGUACCCGGAGAAAAAGCAUCGGCUAACUCCGGGGCAGAAGCCGCGGUAACACGGAGGAUUGGAGCGUUAUCCGGAUUUGUUGGGUUAAAAGGGUGGGUAGGCGGAUCGUUAAGUCAGUGGUAAAAUUGAGGGGCUCAACCCCUGCCCGCCAUUGAAACUGGCGCUCUUGAGUGGAAGAGAGGUAUGCGGAAUGCGUGGUGUAGCGGUGAAAUGCAUAGAUAUCACGAAGAACCCCGAUUGCGAAGGCAGCAUGCCGGCUUCCGACUGACGCUGAAGCACGAAAGCGUGGGGAUCGAACAGGAUUAGAUACCCUAGUAGUC